RNAcentral lists this ribosomal RNA (674 nucleotides) under Listeria monocytogenes. RNAcentral describes it as "bacterial SSU rRNA". It matches the Rfam family "Bacterial small subunit ribosomal RNA", at positions 866 to 1533 of the family's 1533-position model. The record is from RNAcentral. Lineage: Bacteria; Bacillati; Bacillota; Bacilli; Caryophanales; Listeriaceae.
ACUCCGCCUGGGGAGUACGACCGCAAGGUUGAAACUCAAAGGAAUUGACGGGGGCCCGCACAAGCGGUGGAGCAUGUGGUUUAAUUCGAAGCAACGCGAAGAACCUUACCAGGUCUUGACAUCCUUUGACCACUCUGGAGACAGAGCUUUCCCUUCGGGGACAAAGUGACAGGUGGUGCAUGGUUGUCGUCAGCUCGUGUCGUGAGAUGUUGGGUUAAGUCCCGCAACGAGCGCAACCCUUGAUUUUAGUUGCCAGCAUUUAGUUGGGCACUCUAAAGUGACUGCCGGUGCAAGCCGGAGGAAGGUGGGGAUGACGUCAAAUCAUCAUGCCCCUUAUGACCUGGGCUACACACGUGCUACAAUGGAUAGUACAAAGGGUCGCGAAGCCGCGAGGUGGAGCUAAUCCCAUAAAACUAUUCUCAGUUCGGAUUGUAGGCUGCAACUCGCCUACAUGAAGCCGGAAUCGCUAGUAAUCGUGGAUCAGCAUGCCACGGUGAAUACGUUCCCGGGCCUUGUACACACCGCCCGUCACACCACGAGAGUUUGUAACACCCGAAGUCGGUAGGGUAACCUUUAUGGAGCCAGCCGCCGAAGGUGGGACAGAUAAUUGGGGUGAAGUCGUAACAAGGUAGCCGUAUCGGAAGGUGCGGCUGGAUCACCUCCUUUCUAAGGAA